UGAACGUGCUUCUCUAGAUGCCAAUUGAUGCCGCCGAUACCAUCCUUUGAACGGUGACUGCAGCACAUCCGAAAGUGCAGCACACCCUGGCUUUUGCCCGUUUGCACUUACAAUGAUCACUACCGAAAGUGCAGAGAGUGGCGGAGACCAGAUUAGCUUUCAGCUGGAACCGCUGAAGACCACGCACCUGCCUGGGAAAGCGACGACCAGUGACAGUCAAUCUCUCUACGCGGACAGCACCUCUACCACCAAAGUGACGGCUAACGGUGUGUAUGAUAUUGAAGACAGGAUUCUUAGGAUCACAGGCUACUACGGCUAUUAUCCAGGAUACUCAAGUCAUAAAAGAGAGGAGGGUUCAGAGUCCCAAGCAGAGACGCCGGUCAGCGAGGCGAGCGGAGAGGAGACGUCCUACCAGACGUGUGCCAACACGCUCCUCAAGGUUCUGGGGGGGCUCCUGCUGGUGCUGUGCGUGUCCUCGUCCUGGGUGGGCACCACGCAGGUGGUCAAACUCACCUUCCAGUCCUUCUCCUGCCCGUUCUUCAUCUCCUGGUUCAGCAGCAACUGGAACAUUCUCUUCUUCCCGCUCUACUACUCCGGACACGUAGCCACCACCAGGGACAAGCAGACACCCAUCCAGAAGUUCAGGGAGUGCAGUCGGUUAUUCGGAGAGGAUGGGAUGACCAUGAAGCUGUUCCUCAAGAGGACGGCCCCGUUUUCCAUCUUGUGGACGCUGACUAACUACCUGUACCUGAUGGCUCUGAGGAAGCUGACAGCCACGGACGUGUCCACGCUGUACUGCUGCCACAAGGCCUUCGUCUUCCUGCUGUCCUGGAUCGUGCUAAAGGACCGCUUUAUGGGUGUACGGAUUGUGGCAGCCAUCAUGGCCAUCACAGGCAUCGUGAUGAUGGCGUACGCCGACGGUUUCCACGGCGAUUCCAUUGUGGGAGUGGCCUUGGCUGUGGGCUCCGCCUCCACAUCGGCUCUCUACAAGGUGCUGUUUAAGAUGUUCCUGGGCAGUGCCAACCUGGGAGAGGUGGCCCACUUCCUGUCCACCAUGGGGGUCUUCAACCUCAUCUUCAUCUCCUGCGUUCCUCUCAUCCUCUACUUCACCAGGGUGGAGCACUGGGGCUCGCUCUCCUCCCUGCCCUGGGGGUACCUGUGUGGGCUGGCUGGGCUGUGGCUGGUGUUUAACAUCCUGGUGAAUGUAGGUGUGGUACUCACCUAUCCCAUCCUCAUCUCCAUAGGAACGCUGCUCAGCGUCCCUGGCAACGCAGGUAGGCCACAGGAAACGCAAACAGCAACAUUCCAGAGUUCCAAGGCGUUCAAUCAAGGUUUUUUUUUUGUGUGCCGAACAAUUAGAAAAUAAUACAAAUGACUACUUAAAUCACAAAUACUGUUUUGAUAAUAAUUUUUGAUAAUAAGAAAUGUAAUGUUUUUGUGACUAACCUGCAGCCCGCAUGAUUACGUUGUUGGUGGUACUUGGGUGGUUCGGUCGGAUCAGAGGCGGUACUCGCUCUGAACAGUUCGAGGACCCCCGGUUUAACAAAUCGAAAUGAAACAAAAUCGCUUGAAUUUCCAAGAUGAGAGUAAAUAUCCGUUGGGUGUGUGUAGCGCUGUGUGGUGUGGCAUCCAGAGGUCAGCACUUCUAAAGGCCCUCGCAGCAAACAGAUUACACAGCAAGUCCAUCUCUAUCCUCACUUCAGAAACCCAAUCAUCAGGAUGCCUCCACAGACUCUGCAACUAUCUCUCACUGAGGGAGGAUCAGGUUGCUAAGGCGACACUAAACGCCUGCAGACGAGUUGUUUUCCUUAACCACGGUAGCCUGUAUGAAGCCAUCGACGUGCUAAAACAGGAGGUGUUCAGCGUGGUGCGUCUGGCUGCCACCUGCAUCAUCUGCCUGGGCUUCCUCCUCCUGCUGCUUCCUGAGGAGUGGGACUCGGUCAC
Osmerus eperlanus (European smelt) is the source of this 1944-nucleotide RNA transcript. It is a transcript of the gene named solute carrier family 35 member F4, with no coding region annotated. NCBI's taxonomy places the organism in Eukaryota, Metazoa, Chordata, Actinopteri, Osmeriformes, Osmeridae. The transcript has 7 exons. The record is from RefSeq and is a predicted model, not a curated record.